AUUGAACGCUGGCGGCAUGCUUUACACAUGCAAGUCGAACGGUAACAGGCCGCAAGGUGCUGACGAGUGGCGAACGGGUGAGUAAUGCAUCGGAACGUGCCCAGUCGUGGGGGAUAACUACUCGAAAGAGUAGCUAAUACCGCAUACGAUCUAUGGAUGAAAGCGGGGGACCGUAAGGCCUCGCGCGAUUGGAGCGGCCGAUGUCAGAUUAGAUAGUUGGUGGGGUAAAGGCUCACCAAGCCAACGAUCUGUAGCUGGUCUGAGAGGACAACCAGCCACACUGGGACUGAGACACGGCCCAGACUCCUACGGGAGGCAGCAGUGGGGAAUUUUGGACAAUGGGCGCAAGCCUGAUCCAGCAAUGCCGCGUGCAGGAAGAAGGCCUUCGGGUUGUAAACUGCUUUUGUACGGAACGAAACGGCUCUGGUUAAUACCCGGGGCUAAUGACGGUACCGUAAGAAUAAGCACCGGCUAACUACGUG
This 482-nucleotide ribosomal RNA is filed under the name uncultured bacterium. Its description in RNAcentral is "partial 16S ribosomal RNA". It matches the Rfam family "Bacterial small subunit ribosomal RNA", at positions 30 to 507 of the family's 1533-position model. The record is from RNAcentral.